RNAcentral lists this ribosomal RNA (253 nucleotides) under uncultured bacterium. Its description in RNAcentral is "partial 16S ribosomal RNA". It matches the Rfam family "Bacterial small subunit ribosomal RNA", at positions 524 to 776 of the family's 1533-position model. The record is from RNAcentral.
UACGUAGGGCGCAAGCGUUAUCCGGAAUUAUUGGGCGUAAAGAGCUCGUAGGCGGUUUGUUGCGUCGGCUGUGAAAUCCCGAGGCUCAACCUCGGGUCUGCAGUCGAUACGAGCAAACUAGAGUGUUGCAGGGGAGACUGGAAUUCCUGGUGUAGCGGUGAAAUGCGCAGAUAUCAGGAGGAACACCGGUGGCGAAGGCGGGUCUCUGGGCAACUACUGACGCUGAGGAGAGAAAGCGUGGGGAGCGAACAGG